RNAcentral lists this long non-coding RNA (5399 nucleotides) under Brachypodium distachyon (stiff brome). Its description in RNAcentral is "long non-coding RNA (BDIS_LNC003780)". Lineage: Eukaryota; Viridiplantae; Streptophyta; Magnoliopsida; Poales; Poaceae. The record is from RNAcentral.
UCCGAUCUUCUUUGGACAGAUUGAUCUGAAUGAGCAGGCAGCACCAGACCCACUAUCUGAUUUAAACCACUUUGCUGACUGGUGAUUUUCAGUUUUUCACACACAUUUGUAAACCUGAAUCGACGUUGUGUCGUCUAAUUUAGAUGGUAUAUUUUGUGUCAUUUCAGGAUCCUGGAAAUUGAUGUUAACUCGAUGGGCAUGGCUGAGCUAAGACGUUUUGAGGAAAUUGUUUCUGACGCUCUGACAGUUAUCAAGGUCAUAUAUAUGUAUAUGAAAUGGACCUGCAUUAUAAUCCCAUUGCAGAUAAUGUUCUCAUGCAUGGCGAAUGUGUUUAUAUAUACAAGAAGUUUGAGAGUUGCUUUUUUUUGUCUGCAGAACAAUCUGAGGAUGAAGGUGUCACAGCUCACCCAGACCGAGGUUAGUUUCAAAAGCUAUCAAAUCUCCAAAUUAAGUUCAGAACAAUAGAUCAACCAAAUUAAUAUCUAUACCCGGAGAGAUUAUAACAGUUGUGAUUAAUUAAACUCAUCUGAUCGAUAAGAAUUUAACAUCUGGUAGUUGGUAACCUUGUAUUUCUUGUGAGAGAAUCUUCUGACAGUUAGUAUUUUAAUUUUGGGGCUUAAUGACCUUGUAUUUCUCUGUCCAUGGCAAAAUUAAAGAGAAACCCACAGGAGAAAGCGAACAACUUGUCAAGCCAAGAAUCGGAGGAGUGAGACUCUGAGAAGAUGAUGGAGGGGAGGGCAUAUUGCAUAUAUACACUAGUUGUGUCUUCAGGUAUCGAUUUUUUGUCGGCGAAACGGCAGGGUCUCUGCUAUCCAUUGCGUCAUCUUGUAUCAAACGCUUGUAUUUUACAGUGCGUGUGUUUUCCCUAAAAUUAAAACCUAGGAAAGGAAAUAAUUCUGCAAUGUGAAUUCAGUACUCCAUCAUGUAUGGCCGGAGAGAAGAAAAGGCUGUCCAGCUGCAACGGGGCUUGGGCCGGAUGAAUUAUUGAGUUAGAGCGCAAGGCCCAGCCCGCCCGCUGAAAACGGUAGAGCGCAAGGCUUUGAGGUGCACGCGGCCACGCGGGCAGCACGGACAAAGCUAGGAGUUCCAGCGAGUAGCGAAACGUAGGCUGUACAUUCGUGAUAACGUUUACUUGAUUUGCUAGUUCAAAAUUUGAAGAUUUGAAGGCUGGCCUAGAGAUACAUGCAGAACCCCACUUGCCCCUGGUGCUCAUUUUAGCAAUGGGCAAUUGGGCUCCAUGAAAGUGAAACAAAGCAGCGAGCUUGCAGUGCACUUUCUAUGGCACACCACACGAGAAGCGAAUUCAAGUUCAAAGAAAAACAAAUCAUGCAAACAGCCAUAUAUAGUAUGCCUUGUCACAGUUUGCUACGAUAUGCAUAAUAGAUUACAGCAUGCAUCCUGAAUCCUACAGAACUCCAGGUCUGAUCCAUCUGCCUAUGUAGCAAAAAUAGAGGUGAAAUCCAUGACAUGGAUAAUGGAUAAGUAACACAAACCAACCAACCAAAAAUACAAACCCAGAGAUGUCACACAUGAAUAAUAAAACUUGGACAGGUUUCGUCAACAUUCCAGACAACAGCGUUAACCCAAGCAACGACAGUGCACAGGACACACAAGAGAAGAGAAAAUUCUGGCAAAUGCAUAUGAAGUCUAGCAAUUCCUUGUGAUAAAUUGCACCGGUUGGCAAUCAAACAAAAGAGUCUGCAGCAUCGUUCAGUAUUUCAUCGUUCUAACACAAAUCCCUGACCCAGUUCCUUGCUGACAAAGUUUUCGGUUUUCCUUAACCAUAGUUCAGACGGAACAUGUCAUUCUGCACAUAGAAGCUCCCACCAGCUGGCAGCAAAUGGAACAUCUGCAAAAAUAAUCAGUGUACCACAAGGUUAGCAAACACCAGGCAUCCUAAUAUGGACAGCAACUGACAUAAUUUUCAUUCACAUUAGGAUAACAAGGAACAGCAGUGUAUUUCAAUGGGCAAUCUCAUCCUGUCGGGACACGCCUAAUAGUAUAUUCAUGCCAACAGAGAGUGGCUACAAAAGAGCUGAACUAGGGGCCAUCCGAAAAUCAAGAACCACACAAGAGCAGACAGUUUGUAAAAAUGCAACACGAAGCAUCAUAUGUCUUGCCAAAUGAGAACUUGUUUGAUGAUAGGGGGGGGGGGGGGGGGGUAAAAGCUUGAUCUAGGUUGUCCUGACUCUACAUAAAAAUGUGCAGCGGUGAUUAUUAGGGUUAUAAUAGAUAGAUGACACACAAAUGUCAUAUCAGUUAACAUCACUAGCCAACUAAGAUGGCGAAGGGGUGUAGGUUAUUUCACUAGGAAAUGGGUUGACAUCCGUUCUUUGGUAGUCAUCAGAGAAUGUUCUCGCAUUUAUAUGUAGAAACUUGUUGCCCGUUUCACAUGCAGUAUACUCGACUUCAGGAGGCAACUCUUUCUCUCUCUAAAUGAGCAGCUAAAUAAGAGUACAUCACAGAUCACACAACCAUCAUCUAAUUAGUGCAUGGUAAAAUGAAAAUGAAAUGGUAGGCAAUGAAACUUAGAACCCCACCAAUGCAGUAGAUAUAUCACAACCUAAGACUCUGAAAGGCUACCUUCCAAAACUCUACUCCUUCCGUUCCAAAAUAUAAGGUGUAUUUCAAUUUCUUUGACCAAGGCUUUGAUCAAGAAUUACUUCAAUGAACAUGUGACUUGUGUGAUACAAAAUCAUAACCAUUAGUACUUUUGAAUACAAAUACAAUGAUAUCAAUUUAUUUCAGUUAUAUAUUAAUGUACUACUAAUUGUUGGUCAAAGGGAACGAAAUACGCCUCAUAUUUUGGAACAAAGAGAGUACAGAAAAUUGCUACAUAUACCACCCACCCCUCCCCAAGACACGUCAAGCACAAAUACUAAGUUUGUAACACUAGGGAGAAAACAACUCAUUAUUGCAGAUCAAAACAGAAUUCGAGCUCACAUAUGAGCCACGAAUCACACAAACCACAGCAAAACAAGCACAGUUGCAUAUCAGUCCUAAUUUCUCACAAUCAAGUGAACAAGAAGAAAAAAUCAAAAGCAUCUUCCAUCUCGUGGUGCUCCAGCAAGAAGAAAAUGAAGGGAUAAUGUUCUGCAGUACACACAUAAGAGUAAUACUUGAUCAGACUAACCAUUUUCUCAUAUUCAAAUUUUAUGCACCAGUUCAGAAAUCAUCCAUAAAUGUGAUCUAGUAGCCUUGAAAUCAUACCAAAAAAAUGUAGUAUUGAUGAAACAUCCACACGUCCAUAUUUCACUAGCAUGGCAAGAAUUGCACAGCACCAAACCAUGGGACAGGCUGGGACCCAAUAAAAUGAAGGAUCACACUUCAAAACACAAAACUAGCUAGAUUGGACCAAUAAAAAUAAAAUCCAAUGAUUCAUCAACGCACAUUACUAGUGAUGAAACAACCUAAAGCAAUUAGAAACAAAGAGCACGCUCACUACCAAAUUACCUGCCAUGAUAUGCUCCUCUGCCAGAUUGAGAAAAUCUAGGGACAGCAGAGGACGGAAGUAAACAAACAACUAACAGUAACAGAUCGUAUACACAGCUAGAUGCCAGCUGGGUCGUAUAACAGAUCAUAUAUGGAGGACACAGAUCGUAUAAACUAACAGUAGAGGAAGUAAAUCUGAAAACAUUGCUAGGAAAAAAUAGAACUCCUACCAAAAGGAGCAACCUAUGAUGAUAUAACGAAUAAGGAUAGAGCACAGCUCCGAGACAAAAAUCUAAUAACAUGGCAACUCACAAAACCAACACAAGGCCCGCUUCCGAACGAAAUAGUAAUUGCGCCCAAGUAUACUAAGCAAUCGAGUACCGCCUAUUGAUUACACAACGCUAGGAGAUUGAGCGGACCCAGCCAUCGUAACAGUGAGCACAGAUCAGAGAAACAAUUAUUCUGAACAAAUCGAGAGCCUUCCAGGGAAGGCCCCGUGACUGGGAUUUGGUACUGAAACGAUCGCAGGAGCAGUAACCGCAAACUAGAUCAGAUCAGCACGAGACAAGGACUAAACAAGGGAAGCGGAGGGAAGGGGAUCGAAUCGUGACCUGGGAGAACUUGAGGGGGUGCUCGCCGGGGCCGGUGGUGAUGGCGCCGGAGACGAAGACGAGGACGCCGCCCUGGGGCCCCGAGGGCUGGCAGUCGACGGUGUCGAUCUUGUGGUGGCACUGCUGGAAGGGGAGGGAGCCGAGCUUGCCGGCGAUGGCGGCGGAGCCGAGGAACUUGUCGCCCUCGAAGGUGAGCAUGGAGCCGUCCUGGUACAGCCCCACCAGCGCGCCGCGGUUGGCGUCGAACGUCUGGUAGUAGUGCUGCACGAACGCCUUCGCCACCGCGUCGGGGUCCAUGGCCUCUCCUCUCUCUCCCUCGCCGCGCCGCGCCUCGCCUGGGCCCUAGGGUUUGGAGCUCUGGAUGCGGCUUGGCUCGGAGGCGGAGCUCUUGGAUGCGGAAUGGGAAGAUGGGUUCGGGAAGGGGAAGAAAUAAUUGCUGGCUGCUAGUGAUCUGGAUUGGCCUUGGGGAGUUGGCGUGGGAAGGACGCUACGCACUCGGUGCUGGGCCCGUCGUUGGGAGGAAAGCUGCGUUGGGGCCCUACUUUUGUUUUUGUUUUUAAUUUUAAGCGGCCCAGCUGAGUGAUGUGUCCAGAGUGUCUGGAUUAUGGGCGCCUGGUGUUCAUGGGCUGGGAUUGGACCAUCAGAAGAAAAAAGAUCACUUUGUGUUCGUGUGCUAAUAAGGCCGUGUUUAUAUCGCUACAAAAAACGUAGAGGCAGUUUAGUCUAGUUUUUGAAAAAACAGAGCUUGUUGCGCGAGUUACUUUAUCAUUUAUUAUCGACUCUAGAUAUUGUGGUGAGUCUGCAUUCACUCUACCUUUGUGAAUACACUUAUUCUUGAAAUUUUACUAACCGAACCAUAAUAUUUCUAUCGAAAAAGUUAAAGAGCCUUAUAGACAACCUAACAUUCUUGCAGAAUAUAUAGCUUUUCAAUUAAAAAAUCGAGUUUCAUUCCGAAAGGCAAUAAAAAAAGCCAUUGAAUUAACUAAAAAAGCAGAUAUAAGGGGAGUCAAAGUAAAAAUAGCGGGUCGUCUCGGAGGAAAAGAAAUUGCACGUGCGGAAUGCAUCAAAAAGGGUAGACUUCCUCUCCAAACAAUUCGCGCUAAAAUUGAUUAUUGUUGCUAUCCAAUUCGAACUAUCUAUGGAGUAUUAGGUGUAAAAAUUUGGAUAUUCGUAGAUGAAGAAUAACUAAUCUUGUCUUCGCAUUCUGUGCAGUGAUAGAAUAAAAAAUGACAAGAGCCUUUUUUCCCGAAAUCCCUAAAAAAAAAAGAAAUUAUACCUCUUUCUAUAAGAUUUAAUGAAAAUUGGUAAAUCAUUUAAUAUAAUUGCUAUGCUUAGUGUGUGACUCGUUAUUUUUUU